RNAcentral lists this ribosomal RNA (520 nucleotides) under Vishniacozyma carnescens. Its description in RNAcentral is "partial large subunit ribosomal RNA". It matches the Rfam family "Eukaryotic large subunit ribosomal RNA", at positions 55 to 581 of the family's 3401-position model. The record is from RNAcentral. Lineage: Eukaryota; Fungi; Basidiomycota; Tremellomycetes; Tremellales; Bulleribasidiaceae.
GGAAAAGAAACUAACUAGGAUUCCCUUAGUAACGGCGAGUGAACCGGGAUGAGCUCAAAUUUGAAAUCUGGCGUCUUUCAGGCGUCCGAGUUGUAAUCUAUAGAGGCGUUUUCCGCGCCGGACCGCGUCCAAGUCUCUUGGAAUAGAGUAUCAAAGAGGGUGACAAUCCCGUACUUGACGCGACAACCGGUGCUCUGUGAUACGUUCUCAAUGAGUCGAGUUGUUUGGGAAUGCAGCUCUAAAUGGGUGGUAAAUUCCAUCUAAGGCUAAAUAUUGGCGAGAGACCGAUAGCGAACAAGUACCGUGAGGGAAAGAUGAAAAGCACUUUGGAAAGAGAGUUAAACAGCACGUGAAAUUGUUAAAAGGGAAACGAUUGAAGUCAGUCGUGUGGGAAGUAUUCAGCCGUCUCUGGCGGUGUAUUUGCUUCUCACGGGUCAACAUCAGUUUGAUCCGGUAGAAAAAGGCGGGAAGAAGGUGGCACCCUCGGGUGUGUUAUAGCUUCCUGUCAUAUGUGCCGGAC